RNAcentral lists this unclassified non-coding RNA (250 nucleotides) under Paraglomus occultum. RNAcentral's name for it is "partial contains 5.8S ribosomal RNA and internal transcribed spacer 2". The stretch from base 1 to 65 matches the Rfam family "5.8S ribosomal RNA", at positions 84 to 154 of the family's 154-position model. The record is from RNAcentral. Lineage: Eukaryota; Fungi; Glomeromycota; Glomeromycetes; Paraglomerales; Paraglomeraceae.
GUGAAUCAUCAAAUCUUUGAACGCAAAUUGCGCCUUUUUCGGAAGGCAUGUCUGUUUGAGGGCACCAUUUAACAAAUAAUGUGCAUUUCGUGUGCACACGUUGAUGAGCUUUCCAAAAUUAUGUAUUAUUAUUUUUGGUGGCGCAUAAUAAACAGCGUGAAAGUUUUUUUCGUUUGGAGUGUAGAAAAAUCUUUUCUGGGUUUUUGAAAAAAAUUAAUCUCGCAUGGGGUGUGGAAAUUCCUUUUUAUCC